Molecule: small nucleolar RNA, 88 nt
Filed under: Dasypus novemcinctus (nine-banded armadillo)
Lineage: Eukaryota; Metazoa; Chordata; Mammalia; Cingulata; Dasypodidae
Description: Small nucleolar RNA SNORA31 (ENSDNOG00000037835.1)
Source: RNAcentral
UUUCCACUACAGAUGCAAGAAAAAGAAGGUCCUUGUGCUUUCUGUCUGUCUGGUCGUGGCAGCCAAGAUUGAAUAGGGGAGUACAGGA